RNAcentral lists this ribosomal RNA (450 nucleotides) under uncultured bacterium. RNAcentral's name for it is "partial 16S ribosomal RNA". It matches the Rfam family "Bacterial small subunit ribosomal RNA", at positions 354 to 796 of the family's 1533-position model. The record is from RNAcentral.
GUGGGGAAUAUUGGACAAUGGGCGAAAGCCUGAUCCAGCCAUGCCGCGUGUGUGAAGAAGGUCUUCGGAUUGUAAAGCACUUUAAGUUGGGAGGAAGGGCAGUAAGUUAAUACCUUGCUGUUUUGACGUUACCGACAGAAUAAGCACCGGCUAACUUCGUGCCAGCAGCCGCGGUAAUACGAAGGGUGCAAGCGUUAAUCGGAAUUACUGGGCGUAAAGCGCGCGUAGGUGGUUUUGUAAGUUGGAGGUGAAAUCCCCGGACUCAACCUGGGAACUGCCUCCAAAACUGCAUGACUAGAGUACGGUAGAGGGUAGUGGAAUUUCCUGUGUAGCGGUGAAAUGCGUAGAUAUAGGAAGGAACACCAGUGGCGAAGGCGACUACCUGGACUGAUACUGACACUGAGGUGCGAAAGCGUGGGGAGCAAACAGGAUUAGAAACCCGAGUAGUCC